CGCCCGCGUGCCGCGACCCGAGCCCACGGCCGGCUGGCGGCUCUGAGGCGGCCCCGGGGCGGCGGGCAGCGGGGCCCUGGGCGCGUCGACGCCCGGCGCUAAGUUCAGGGAGGACCGCGGCGCUGGACCCGGCCCCGGGAGAGGACGCCUCCCCGCCCCCCCCCAGCUCUGGGCCCCAGAGGGGAUCGGUUCCCUGAGCCCUGCUGCCCGGGCCCCUGUCCCCACGCGCCUGUCAUCGUUCUCAGGGGGGAACGGCAGGCUCCUCAGGUGCUGACGGGCGCCGCGCGUCUGCGUUCAGCGCUCCUGCUCCUUCCGUGCCGGAGCCCGGUGUGCCCUGCGAUCGGAUAACUGCGUGCUGAGAUGACGCCUCCCCCUGAGCGCGACGUCUGGCGGGACGGCCGACGGCUGGGGCCCCAAUAGUACCGGAGACGCAGAGGGGCCGUGUGCGGCAGACGGAGCGCGAGGCGGACAGCCUUCUUUUGUUGAGCUGACUCAGACCUGCCUGAGCGUCUUGCUAAGGUACCGAAAGGAGAGAAGGGUUACAGAAUAAAUGCCAUAUGAAAAACAGUUUCAUCUGUCAUGGAAAAACGAGAGACGUUUGUACAAGCGGUGUCUAAGGAGCUGAUUGGAGAAUUUUUGCAGUUUGUUCAACUUGAUAAAGAUGCUUCUGACCCUUUCAGCCUAAAUGAACUACUAGAUGAAUUAUCAAGGAAACAGAAAGAGGAGCUAUGGCAAAGGCUCAGGAGUUUAUUGACAGAUGUGUUGUUAGAAAGCCCAGUGGCUGGGUGGCAGAUGGUGGAAGUCCAGGAUGAAGAUGAUAUGGAAACAGAGCAUGAUUCAAAAAUGAAAAAAAACAUAGAAAUAAUUCAUGCAAUUACAUCUGUGGUUCUUGCUUCUGUAUCUGUAAUAAAUGAAAGUGAGAAUUAUGAAGACUUACUGGAAUGUGCAGUUAUGUUGAAUGGUAUUUUAUAUGCAUUACCUGAAUCUGAAAGAAAGCUGCAGAGUUCCAUUCAGGAUUUAUGUGUCAUAUGGUGGGAGAAAGGCCUGCCUGCCAAGGAAGAUAUGGGAAAGACUGCUUUUAUCAUGCUAUUAAGGAAGAGUCUAGAGACUAAAACAGGUGCAGACAUAUGUCGGCUUUGGCGUAUUCAUCAAGCUUUAUAUUGCUUUGAUUAUGAUUUAGAGGAAAGUAAAGAAAUCAAAGAUAUGCUACUUGAGUGUUUCAUAAGUGUUAAAUAUAUCAAGAAAGAAGAGGGAAGAAGAUUUCUUAGUUCUCUCUUCAAUUGGAAUGUAAAUUUUAUUAAAAUGAUCCACGAGACCAUUAAAAACCAGCUACAGGGGUUACAAAAAUCUUUGAUGGUACACGUUGCAGAAAUUUAUUUCAGAGCUUGGAAAAAGGCCUCAGGGAAAAUAUUGGAGACGAUCGAAAACGGGUGCAUCCAGGACUUCAUGCACCACGGCAUCCACCUUCCGCGCAGGUCUCCAGUGCACUCCAGGGUGCGCGAGGUGCUGUGUUAUUUUCAUCAUCAAAAAAAAGUUCGUCAGGGAGUGGAAGAGAUGCUUUACAGAUUAUAUAAACCCAUCCUUUGGAGAGGACUAAAGGCCCGAAACUCUGAAGUCCGGUCAAAUGCUGCCCUUUUGUUCAUUGAAGCAUUUCCUAUUAGGGAUCCAAAUUUCAAUGCUAUUGAAAUGGAUAGUGAAAUUCAGAAACAGUUUGAAGAACUCUACAGCCUUUUAGAAGACCCUUAUCCAAUGGUCCGUUCUACAGGGAUCCUUGGUGUUUGUAAAAUAACUUCCAAAUACUGGGAAAUGAUGCCUCCAACCAUUCUUAUUGAUCUCCUCAAAAAAGUAACCGGGGAACUGGCAUUUGACACAAGCUCAGCUGAUGUGCGCUGUUCUGUCUUUAAGUGUCUGCCGAUAAUUUUGGAUAACAAAUUAAGCCACCCAUUAUUAGAACAGCUUCUGCCAGCUCUGAAAUACAGUCUCCAUGACAAUUCAGAGAAAGUGAGAGUGGCUUUUGUUGAUAUGCUGCUGAAAGUCAAAGCCGUGCGGGCUGCUAAGUUUUGGAAAAUUUGCCCCAUGGAGCAUAUUUUGGUUCGUCUGGAAUCAGAUUCCCGGCCUGUGUCUCGGCGCCUGGUGAACCUCAUCUUCAACUCUUUCCUGCCGGUGAACCAGCCCGAGGAGGUGUGGUGUGAGCGCUGUGUCACGCUGGUCCAGAUGAACCAUGCAGCUGCCAGGAAGUUCUAUCAGCAUGCCCACGAGCACACCGCCUGCACUAAUAUAGCAAAGCUAAUUCACGUGAUUCGCCAUUGCUUGAAUGCCUGCAUCCGGAGGGCCGUGCGUGAGUGCCACGAGGACCAUGAGGAGAGGGAGAAGGAGAACGUUCUGGACAAAACAUUGUCUGUAAGCGAUGUUGCAUCCAUGGCCGGUUUGUUAGAAAUUGUUGUGAUUCUUUGGAAAAGUAUUCACAGAAGUAUGGAAAAUAAUAAGGAAGCCAGAGUUUACACCAUUAACAAGUUUGCUUCUGUGCUCCCUGAGUACCUGAAAGUCUUCACGGAUGAUCGCUGCAAGAUCCCUUUAUUUAUGCUCAUGUCCUUUAUGCCAGCCUCUGCUGUGCCUACAUUCAGCUGCGGUGUGAUUUCCACAUUAAGAAACCAAGAGGAGGGAGCAGCAGACAAGCGUUAUUGUACUCUGUUGGACUGUCUCUGCUCCUGGGGACAAGUGGGACACAUUCUGGAACUCAUCUGUGACUGGCUGCCAGAAGAUCAGCCCCAGAGCAAGAGUAACUCAGCAUCUAAACGGAAGGUGCAGAUCCAUGACACACGCCCAGUAAAACCUGAAUUGGCCCUGGUUUACAUAGAGUAUUUGCUGACCCACCCAAAGAAUCGACAGUGCCUGCUCUCUGCUCCCCAGAAGAAACUUAACCACCUUUUGAAAGCACUUGAAAUGUCAAAGGCGGAUCUGGAAUCAAUUUUGCAGCUGCCAGGUGGGAAACCUCACAACUUUAAUGAGGCGAUGGCCCUGCGAGCCUUCAGCCUCCACUGCCGGCUGAGUAUCCAUCUUCAGCACCAGUUCUGCUCAGAAGGGAAAGUUUACCUGUCCAUUUUGGAAGACACUGGGUUUUGGUUAGAAAACAAAGUUCUGUCUUUUAUCCAAGAUCAAGAAGAAGAAUAUCUGAAGCUUCAUAGGGUUGUUUAUCAGCAAAUCAUCCAGACCUACCUGACGGUAUGUAAGGAUGUUGUGAUGGUUGGCCUUGGUGAUUUUAAGUUUCAGAUACAACUUUUACAGUGGAGUCUCCGAAUCAUGCAAACAGUGAAGGGCUUCUUUUAUGUGUCAUUACUUCUUGGCAUUCUGAAAGAGGUAACUGGAAGUUCCUUGAUGCAGAAACCAGACUCGGACGAAGAAGUUGCAACACUGUCUGAUAUGGUCCAGAAAGUAUUUCAGAAACUGUUGGAAUGUAUGGCACGGAGCUUCAGGAAGCAACCAGAAGAAGGCCUACGGCUUCUUUAUUCGGUUCAGAGUUCUCUUCAUGAAUUUUUAAUGACUGUUCAGUCUUGGCACGUGGACACGCCCGUCCACCGGGGGGUGCUCUCAACUGUGAUUGCUGCAUCUGUGGUGGAGAUAAGUCACCAGCUACGAAAGGUCUCUAAUGUAGAGGAGCUCACCACCCCCGAGGUUCUUUCAGACCUCCCACCAUUUUCAAGGUGUUUAAUAGGAAUAAUAAUGAAGUCUCUGGAUGUGAUCAGGUCAUUUUUAGAUGAAUUAAAGGCGUGUGUUACUUCUGAUGAUGUUGAAGGCAUUGUGUGUCUCACAGCUGUUAUGCAUAUUAUUUUGGUUAUUAAUAAAGGUAAACAGAGGAGUUCAAAAGUGAAGGAUGUUGCAGCCACUGUUCACAGAAAACUAAAGACAUUCAUGGAGAUCACUCUGGAUGAGGACAGCACGGAGAGACACUUACAGGGAAGAGGGAAAUGAUCUUCUGAGUUGGAGGAAAUGAGGAGUGUUUGUAUUUCAGAAAACACAUGGCAGUGUAAAUAUUUUUACCAGGCACAUCAACAUUACAACCUGUAUAAAUGGUUUCUCUAUGAAUCAUCAUCAAGAACUCUGGGAGCACUUCUGAAUUCAUAACCAAGCCAACAUCUUUGGUCAUGUGAAAAUGGAGAAAAAGGACUUAGCGAAAGUGAAAUGAAUAUGUAUUUUCCUAGUGUUUUUAAUGUUAAUAACCCAUAUCAUAAGGGGUGGGAUUUAUUUAGGGAGUUAUAAGUAGGAAACUCAAAGGUUCUUAAGCUUUUGCCUGGUGCCUGCAUAAAUAAUAUAUUUAAUAUAAAGGACUCUAGGUAUCAGUGGAGCAGAGCAGAAACCUGUGGUGCAAAGGGGAAAAAAAGACUUUUCUAGCAAACAUGGUUGUUUUAAAAAUGAUUUAUAUAUAUAUAUAUAUAUAUAUAUAUAUAUAAAAUGUUGCUUAAACUGA
Molecule: RNA transcript, 4465 nt
Organism: Ailuropoda melanoleuca (giant panda)
Lineage: Eukaryota; Metazoa; Chordata; Mammalia; Carnivora; Ursidae
Gene: NCAPG2
Gene name: non-SMC condensin II complex subunit G2
Exons: 30
Source: RefSeq, a predicted model, not a curated record